RNAcentral lists this ribosomal RNA (490 nucleotides) under uncultured bacterium. RNAcentral describes it as "partial 16S ribosomal RNA". It matches the Rfam family "Bacterial small subunit ribosomal RNA", at positions 30 to 507 of the family's 1533-position model. The record is from RNAcentral.
AUUGAACGCUGGCGGCAGGCCUAACACAUGCAAGUCGAACGGUAACAGGAAGCAGCUUGUUGCUUUGCUGACGAGUGGCGGACGGGUGAGUAAUGUCUGGGAAACUGCCUGAUGGAGGGGGAUAACUACUGGAAACGGUAGCUAAUACCGCAUAACGUCGCAAGACCAAAGAGGGGGACCUUAGGGCCUCUUGCCAUCGGCUGUGCCCAGAUGGGAUUAGCUAGUAGGUGGGGUAACGGCUCACCUAGGCGACGAUCCCUAGCUGGUCUGAGAGGAUGACCAGCCACACUGGAACUGAGACACGGUCCAGACUCCUACGGGAGGCAGCAGUGGGGAAUAUUGCACAAUGGGCGCAAGCCUGAUGCAGCAAUGCCGCGUGUAUGAAGAAGGCCUUCGGGUUGUAAAGUACUUUCAGAGGGGAGGAAGGGAGUAAAGUUAAUACCUUUACUCAUUGACGUUACCCGCAGAAGAAGCACCGGCUAACUCCGUG